This is a long non-coding RNA of Cyprinus carpio carpio, 1155 nucleotides long. Lineage: Eukaryota; Metazoa; Chordata; Actinopteri; Cypriniformes; Cyprinidae. The record is from Ensembl.
AUGAUCACCAUGGCUAUUUACAGAGCAGAGCUAUUCCCCCGCCUUCUUCAUAGAAAGCAGGGAAGCAUUUGGCAGGGUGCAUGCAGACAGAAUUCCCUCAACACCAGCUUGGAGCCUGAACAUCGCUGUGCUCAAACUAAUUGGAUUACCCUGACAGUAAUGCACUACCAAGCUUCACACAUGCCACCUAAUAAAUUGCACCAAUAUCAGUUGAGGGUGGAGAUUAAAACAGAUUAUACAGAGAAUGAAGUAAGUUUACCUCAUUGUGAUUAAUUAAAGGAUUACCUUUCUACAUACUGAUAGUGAAAAUAAAGUGCCUUGAAUUGGCCUACAUAGUUAUCAUUAGUAAUACUGUCAGGGAUAAUGAUGCUUAUAAUUAUAGCUGUGAUAAUCAAAAUUAUAUUAAUUAUAUCCAUAGUCAGUGUCAGUGCCUCAAUAACAAGCUUGCACAUUAUAGUUUAGUAAUGAGUUAUUUAUUGUUUUAAUUAGCUUAUACUCUCUGUUUAUAAGUUAAACUUUACCUUCCAUGAUCAAGGUUUUGUUUUGUUUUUGUUUUUUGGAAUAGAUGAAAUAGAAAAAAGCGGUUAAAUGAGUUCAUUCCUCUAACUCUACAUGCUGACAGACUGUAUGGAUGAUGGUUUCACUCUGCUCCGUGCAGUGCGUUCUUCACAUUAUGGUUGACCUUUUUCCACAAUGUUCUCUCUCAUCUUCUCUAUGUGACCUUCCUUUGAUCUCGUCAGAGCUCUUGCUUUUUCUUUCAGUUCCAGUCAGAACUCAUACAUCUGCUGAAUGAUUUAUUUAUGGCACCACUCCUCAACCGCCUCUCUUUUUUUCUGUUUCAGACAUACACCUUUGCUUUUGCUUUAUUUGUUUCUAUCUGUGUCAAUACCAACAGUUGGUUUUUGUUGUUGUUUUUAUUAGUUCAUACAUUUCUGUCUUCUCUACUGCUUUUUCUUAUUAUUGCUCCUCUGUUUCUUUAAGUUAGAAGAGUUUUAUUUUUUAGAAUUUGCAGCAGUAUUCAGAAAUGUAUUAAAUACUUACAAACGAUCUUGAUGCUUGUUCAAUAUAGGCCUACUUAUUUUCAUUUUUAAAAUACCUGGGCCAUUAGCUGAGGCUACCUGCUAUCACGAGGAUUCAAACAGAGCAUCUUGGAAA